Molecule: ribosomal RNA, 446 nt
Filed under: uncultured bacterium
Lineage: Bacteria
Description: bacterial SSU rRNA
Rfam family: Bacterial small subunit ribosomal RNA
Source: RNAcentral
UGCCAGACUCCUACGGGAGGCAGCAGUGGGGAAUAUUGCACAAUGGGGGAAACCCUGAUGCAGCGACGCCGCGUGAGUGAAGAAGUAAUUCGUUAUGUAAAGCUCUAUCAGCAGGGAAGAAAAUGACGGUACCUGAGUAAGAAGCCCCGGCUAACUACGUGCCAGCAGCCGCGGUAAUACGUAGGGGGCAAGCGUUAUCCGGAUUUACUGGGUGUAAAGGGAGCGUAGACGGCAGCGCAAGUCUGAAGUGAAAUGCCAGGGCUUAACCCUGGAACUGCUUUGGAAACUGUGCAGCUAGAGUGCAGGAGAGGUAAGUGGAAUUUCUAGUGUAGCGGUGAAAUGCGUAGAUAUUAGGAGGAACACCAGUGGCGAAGGCGGCUUACUGGACUGUAACUGACGUUGAGGCUCGAAAGCGUGGGGAGCAAACAGGAUUAGAUACCCGAGUA